AAGUUCAAAAAGAAAUUUUUUGUUCCUUCACGUUAAGACUAACCCUUCUUUUUUUUUUCUCUUCAGAUGUUAUUCAGCGCACUGGAAAUCAUCUCCCCAAGAGAUCAAUACAUCGCUUCAGUAUGCUGAUUGAGAUAGCCUUCAAAAAUACACGGAAGGAAAUAAAAGCCACGGACAGCUAGCAAAUCCAGCUAAGCCACGAAUGAGUCAACAUGUCCGUUAAGAUGCAUUGACUUUCUAUCCAUUUACAUUUAGAGUUAUCAGUGUAUUAUAUGCCCAAGUAUAGCAGAAGUACUUCCUAAGCCCAGUUGCCAAUAUUUUAGUUUAUUUUAUCCUAUCAGAAUGGACUAAAUGAACAAAAAGGAUCUUUCCAAUCAAGUCUGUGUUCUAAGAAUCUUUUCAGAAUCGGAUGGCUUUACACUCAAUAAAAAGCAAAGCUGGUGUGAAGAAAGUGACAAGAUGGCAGGUUUGUAGUAGUUUCUUAAUACUAUUAUUAUUUUUUAAAAGCAUAUUGUAUUUAUAAAGUGCUUUUACUUCUAGUGAUGUGUUUUUAUAAUCAAGAAGGGGUUAAAUUAUAUGUGAUUUGCACUUGAUGUGUUUAGCUACAAAAAAUACCAAGAUCUGAAUGAUUCAGUGCAGGUGCGCUUUAUGUUCACAUCUACAGGUUUUUUUUCUAUUCUCUUUCUUAGUAAAGU
Molecule: long non-coding RNA, 695 nt
Filed under: Coturnix japonica (Japanese quail)
Lineage: Eukaryota; Metazoa; Chordata; Aves; Galliformes; Phasianidae
Description: lncRNA (ENSCJPG00005021199.1)
Source: RNAcentral